GGUUGAUCCUGCCAGUAGUUAUAUGCUUGUCUCAAAGACUAAGCCAUGCAUGUCUAAGUAUAAACCAAUUUAUACGGUGAAACUGCGAAUGGCUCAUUAUAUCAGUUAUUGUUUAUUUGAUGAUACCCUACCACUUGGAUAACCGUGGUAAUUCUAGAGCUAAUACAUGCACGAAAUCUCGACUCGUUCGCGGGAAGGGAUGUAUUUAUUAGAUAAAAACCAGCCCGGUACUUGUUGCCGGUUCAACCUGGUGAUUCAUGAUAACUUUGCGAAUCGCAUGACUUUUCGUCGG
This 292-nucleotide ribosomal RNA is filed under the name uncultured eukaryote. RNAcentral describes it as "partial 18S ribosomal RNA". It matches the Rfam family "Eukaryotic small subunit ribosomal RNA", at positions 6 to 287 of the family's 1831-position model. The record is from RNAcentral.